This 29-nucleotide non-coding RNA is filed under the name Mus musculus (house mouse). The record is from RNAcentral. Lineage: Eukaryota; Metazoa; Chordata; Mammalia; Rodentia; Muridae.
GUGUGGAGAGACAGAGGAGGAGAGGAUUC